RNAcentral lists this unclassified non-coding RNA (401 nucleotides) under soil metagenome. Its description in RNAcentral is "partial contains 5.8S ribosomal RNA, internal transcribed spacer 2, and large subunit ribosomal RNA". The stretch from base 1 to 121 matches the Rfam family "5.8S ribosomal RNA", at positions 35 to 154 of the family's 154-position model. The record is from RNAcentral.
GAUGAAGAACGUAGCGAAAUGCGAUAAGUAAUGUGAAUUGCAGAAUUCAGUGAAUCAUCGAAUCUUUGAACGCACCUUGCGCCCCUUGGUUAUUCCAAAGGGCAUGCCUGUUUGAGUAUCAUGAACACCUCAACUCUUGUGGUUUCCCACAAUGAGCUUGGAUUGUGGAGGUUUUGUUGGCCCUGUGGUCAGCUCCUCUCAAAUGGAUCAGCUUACCGGUGUUUGGUGGCAUUACGGGUGUGAUAACUAUCUACGCUCGUGGUCGUCUCCAAAUAACCUCCAGUGAUGGAGGUUCGCUGGAGCUUAUAAAUGUCUCUCCCCAGUGAAGACAGCCUUUGAACGUUCGAUCUCAAAUCAGGUAGGACUACCCGCUGAACUUAAGCAUAUCAAUAAGCGGAGGA